AUGGUUGAUGGUGAGCUGACUAUGGUGCGGCAAAAUGCCAAAACAAGGAGGAGGAUCUCAUUGACUGGGAAUCUGAUCUGGAGAUCUCUGCUUUGUCUCUACUGGUCCCAUCCAGCCCUUCUUUGUCCAUGGUUCCCUCGUCCAGCCCUGAGGGGGCUUCUGAUUCACAUGUGCCUGCUCUUGGAAUGUGCUCUCCAGUGCCUGCUCCUAACAUGUGCCCUCCAGUGCCUGCUCCUAACAUGUGCCCUCCAGUGUCUGCUCCUAGAAUGUGCCCUCCAGUGCCUGCUCCUAACAUGUGCUCUCCAGUGCCUGCUCCUAGAAUGUGCUCUCCAGUGCCUGCUCCUAACAUGUGCCCUCCAGUGCCUGCUUCUAGAAUGUGCCCUCCAGUGCCUGCUCCUAGAAUGUGCUCUCCAGUGCCUGCUCCUAACAUGUGCCCUCCAGUGCCUGCUUCUAGAAUGUGCCCUCCAGUGCCUGCUCUUAGAAUGUGCUCUCCAGUUCCUGCUCCUAGAAUGUGCUCUCCAUUGCUUGCUCUUAGAAUGUGCCCUCCAGUGCCUGCUCCUAACAUGUGCCCUCCAGUGUCUGCUCCUAACAUGUACCCUCCAGUGCCUGCUCCUAGAACGUGCUCUCCAGUGUCUCCUCUUAGAAUGUGCUCUCCAGUGCCUGCUCCUCGAAAAUACCCGCACUCCCACCUGCUCCAGCCUCCUCCACUGUUGUCAUCUGGCAGCCCUCAGCCCACCAUCAUUGUGGUGCAAGCCCCGCGGGACUGCCAUCCUCCAGCGUCGCUGUGGUCAGAGUCUCUUCAUACCACCGCCUCCAACCUCCGAGACCUGGACUCCGCCUCGGUCGUUUGACCAGUCGGCUCCACCAUGGCUCAUAGCUCCCUCCCUCUCUCCCUCCCAGCAGUCCACAAGUCUCUGGCUCUUAUCAUCCCUCCGGCUCCACCUUGGUCUAGGGUUUCCUCUUUCCUCCAUCCCCCUGGCUCCGUCAGGCUCCUUUAUCCCCUUCGGCUCCAACUCAGUCCUCUGUUGCUUCAGCUCCACCCCAGCCCCGGAUCCACAGCUCCGCCUAGGACCUCCGGAUCCUCUCUGUGACCCUGGAUCUUUGGCUCUCCACCUCGGACUCCUCGGACUCCUCGUCCUCGGUCCUGCUGGGCUCCUCCUGCUCCAAGCUCCAGCCCCCACACCCUCGUUGUUCUAUGGUGUGAGGUCACACCUUGCGGGAGGGGGGAGUAAUAUUACACCCCGGAGUCAUUAUGUUGUGUUUUCCCUGCAUGUGUUCCGUGUCCCACGUUAA
This 1293-nucleotide long non-coding RNA is filed under the name Carassius auratus (goldfish). RNAcentral describes it as "lncRNA (ENSCARG00000028254.1)". The record is from RNAcentral. Lineage: Eukaryota; Metazoa; Chordata; Actinopteri; Cypriniformes; Cyprinidae.